UACGAAGGGGGCUAGCGUUGUUCGGAUUUACUGGGCGUAAAGCGCACGUAGGCGGAUUGUUAAGUCGGGGGUGAAAUCCUGGAGCUCAACUCCAGAAUUGCCUUCGAUACUGGCUUUCUAGAGGCUGGAAGAGGUUAGUGGAAUUCCCAGUGUAGAGGUGAAAUUCGUAGAUAUUGGGAAGAACCCCAGUGGCGAGGGCGGCUAACUGGUCCAGAUCUGACGCUGAGGUGCGAAAGCGUGGGGAGCAAACAGG
Molecule: ribosomal RNA, 253 nt
Filed under: uncultured bacterium
Lineage: Bacteria
Description: partial 16S ribosomal RNA
Rfam family: Bacterial small subunit ribosomal RNA
Source: RNAcentral